Long non-coding RNA from Pomacea canaliculata, 821 nucleotides. RefSeq lists it as uncharacterized. The record is from RefSeq and is a predicted model, not a curated record. The transcript has 2 exons. Lineage: Eukaryota; Metazoa; Mollusca; Gastropoda; Architaenioglossa; Ampullariidae.
CAAUCUGUUUAGAUUGCUAUAUGUCUAAAACUAAUUUCACACCUGUUUACUCUGGUAAUACAGUCAUCUUUUGUGUGUGAGCACAAACAAUGCAUCAUUGUGCAAGCAGACAAUACUGUUUGCAGAGGUGUACAACAGCUUGUGUGGACAUUAGUGGCAACUUGACUGAUGUUUCUAGUUCCCAGGCCUGAGCUGCCAUGUUGCUGUCUGAACACUUGGUUAAGAACUAAGCCUCCUCUGCUCACACCCUGUGCUCAGGAAGCAAACAUGGCCAUCUGUUUCUGUUUGCAAUCAGUCCAAGGUGGGCAGCAUAAAGGGUUUAAGCAAGCCUCCCUGAUGAAAUGCAAAAGUUCACAUCAAUAUUGAAGGCCAAUUUUUUUUUAAUUUUCCGGUUGAAAGAGCUACUAGGAGCAGGUUCUUUCAUAAAAUGAAACUGAAAAAAGGCAGCAUGGUCUUGCACAAAGCCCUAAGCAGCAAUGGCUUAGGUUAGGUUCCUGUGUCAACAUCAGUCAAAUCCCUUUCAGCUGACAAAAUAUCGACACCACGGCAGGCUGGCCGCGAUCUGUCACUGCGCUUCAUCAAAGCAACAAACUAGCAGCCAUUAACGCCGCCUUCUGCGCCCUGGCGUCGUUCAUCUACAGAAAGGGGUCAAAGGGCGAGGACAAGGGUCAGCGAUGUCCAAACAGUAAACGGGUGGCCUCGCGUCCCAUGGGUCAAACGCGCAGAAAAGGGCGCAACUCGUCUCAAGCACAGCGCUGCAGGGUUACUUAUGUACUGUCCACGGUGAAGUGUAGAGAUUUAUCUAUGUGCGCUAGACCGUA